UCAGAUAAUCAGAGAACUUUAUUUAUUAUUUCAGAGCAUCUGAUAAUAGAAGACAUCACUUAAUUUUAGAUGGUUGCCAUAAUAGUUGAUGCCACUCCAGCUAACGUACAUGCUGAAAGCCACUAUAAGGUGGUGGUAGCUUUCUGGAGCACCUUCCCAAUCCCUCAAGCAAAAAGGAACCAGAUACAAAUGCCCCACC
RNAcentral lists this long non-coding RNA (199 nucleotides) under Elaeis guineensis (African oil palm). RNAcentral describes it as "long non-coding RNA (EGUI_LNC013361)". The record is from RNAcentral. Lineage: Eukaryota; Viridiplantae; Streptophyta; Magnoliopsida; Arecales; Arecaceae.